GCGCUCGUGGUGAAAUUGGUAAACACAGCAGACUUAAAAUCUGCCGCCUUCACGGGCUUGCCGGUUCAAGUCCGGCCGAGCGCACCA
RNAcentral lists this transfer RNA (87 nucleotides) under Kordiimonadaceae bacterium. RNAcentral describes it as "tRNA-Leu". It matches the Rfam family "tRNA". Rfam says of the family: Transfer RNA (tRNA) molecules are approximately 80 nucleotides in length. Their secondary structure includes four short double-helical elements and three loops (D, anti-codon, and T loops). The record is from RNAcentral. RNAcentral also lists the same sequence under 1 other name. Lineage: Bacteria; Pseudomonadati; Pseudomonadota; Alphaproteobacteria; Kordiimonadales; Kordiimonadaceae.